This 253-nucleotide ribosomal RNA is filed under the name uncultured bacterium. RNAcentral describes it as "partial 16S ribosomal RNA". It matches the Rfam family "Bacterial small subunit ribosomal RNA", at positions 524 to 776 of the family's 1533-position model. The record is from RNAcentral.
UACGAAGGGUGCAAGCGUUAAUCGGAAUUACUGGGCGUAAAGCGUGCGCAGGCGGCUUUGCAAGACAGAUGUGAAAUCCCCGGGCUCAACCUGGGAACUGCAUUUGUGACUGCAAGGCUAGAGUACGGCAGAGGGGGAUGGAAUUCCGCGUGUAGCAGUGAAAUGCGUAGAUAUGCGGAGGAACACCAAUGGCGAAGGCAAUCCCCUGGACCUGUACUGACGCUCAUGCACGAAAGCGUGGGGAGCAAACAGG